UCGAAUCACCCGUCUGUUAACUGGUUGGACCUCGCAGACUCUCUCUCAUUCAAGCAGUGCGCAGUGGAUAUUGAACCACUAAGAACUGUUGGGAAGAUUUGCCUGGUACUUGGUGGCAACAGCCUUGUAAAACAAUAAUAGUGUGCUUUUUUGGCUUAACUUUAUUCCUGAGGAGGCAACGGAAUCCAUUGUAGAGUCUGGUCGAUUUAUGGAGAUGUUUGGAGAGGAUCUAUGAAUAUGGUAAUUCCAGACGGUGCAAUCUGCUAAAUGAAGCAGCUACGAGUGAGGGCCACUUGUUGGGGAUAACAGAAGGGACAGCACAGCAUCAGUCAGCCAAAGCCAUGAAGCAGUCCAUUGACUAGGAUGUGCCAGUAAACCACUGAUUCGGGCUUGAGUGGAACAUUAAGGAUUUGUAUUUCUAUCCAAAGAAGUUGGAUUUUAGGGUGAACCAGGAAAUUGAAUAUGGAGACAGAGCUGAGGACAGGUCUCUCUGUAUGGGCCAUAAUGGCCAUAGUGUGUAACUCUGUAGUGGGCGUCCUCACCCUCAUCCUCUUUGUCAUCCUCUACCAGGCCUGCAAGGUGCCUUCCUGCCAAGAGAGGGCGCCAGUGCUGACAGCAGCCCCGGAGCAAGAGAAGGGCGAUCAGAAAUACUUACUCACUGUAGUCUGACGGUGAACAUAAAGAGGAAAAACACUCUCUGGCCAAACAGACUACACACACACACACACACGCACGCACGCACACCUCUCUCUCUCUGUCUGUAUUUGAGUCCAUUUCUCUCUCUCUCUGCCUGACACUCAGUUGAUCUCGGAGCAAAAGAACAUGACAAGUGUUAGGCAUUGCGUAAAAAAAAAACAUAAAUCCUCUUAUCUCCUUGGCUCUGCUCUGGGACUGUCCAUCUGUCAGUUUGUUUAAACCCAGCAGUCUGGCCUUACCCUGCACAUCUCCACUGAACCAGUCUGAUGAUUUGUGGGAAAGGGUAAAUGAAAAAGCGAAUGAGAAGAGAGAUGGAAGGAAAGGCGGAAAGCGAACAGCCCUCAUCUCAUCAGCGACAGAUUGUUUACUAACUGGAGAAAUAAUGAUGCCAAGUACAGUGAAAUAGACCACAAGAGAGAUAGAUAGAGAGAUAGAUAGAGAGAUAGCUGCGGAAACAAAGGAAGGCCGUGAUGAUGGACGAGAGAGAAGGAAAGGGGUGUUUUGAUGUGUUGCUUACUAAGAGAACGUUCAAGAAUCUCAAUAGUUUAAGAAAAAUAACAAAAACAAAGGGAAAUGAACUCAACAUUUCAACUAAAAGUUGCGCUGUAACACUUAAAUGUGUCCGUCUGCCACUUACCGGGUUCAUAACCUUCUCAAGGAGUGACACCCAAAGACAGUAUAAUGAGAAUCUUUUAGAACGACUCCCAGAGAUAGUGAUGUUGUGACGCGGAGAAUCAAAAUGACUACUUGAAACAGAAGGAUCAUGUACUGUACUAUGCGAAUAACCAUUCCACAUGUGUAAUUAUUAUGGUGAUGUUGUUCUAUGAAUCAUGGACAUAAUGUUGCUUUUAAUAGUUUAUUAACACAAUAAAUGUUUUACUUUUUCGUAA
Oncorhynchus keta (chum salmon) is the source of this 1586-nucleotide long non-coding RNA. RefSeq lists it as uncharacterized. NCBI's taxonomy places the organism in Eukaryota, Metazoa, Chordata, Actinopteri, Salmoniformes, Salmonidae. The record is from RefSeq and is a predicted model, not a curated record. The transcript has 2 exons.